CCUACGGGAGGCAGCAGUGGGGAAUAUUGGACAAUGGGGGAAACCCUGAUCCAGCGACGCCGCGUGAGGGAAGAAGUAUUUCGGUACGUAAAGCUCUAUUAGUAGGAAAGUAAAUUAAGGUACCUGAAUAAGAAGCUCCGGCUAACUACGUGCCAGCAGCCGCGGCAAUACGAAGGGGGCAAGCGUUAUCCGGAUUUACUGGGUGUAAAGGGAGCGUAGACGGCAGCGCAAGUCUGGAGUGAAAUGCCGGGGCCCAACCCCGGAACUGCACUUGAUACUGUGAAGCUGGAGUGCAGGAGAGGUAAGCGGAAUUCGUGGUGUAGCGGUGAAAUGCGUAGAUAUCAGGAGGAACACCGGCGGCGAAGGCGGCUUACUGGACUGUAACUGACGUUGAGGCUCGAAGGCGUGGGGAGCAAACAGGAUUAGAUACCCGAGUAGUC
RNAcentral lists this ribosomal RNA (440 nucleotides) under uncultured bacterium. Its description in RNAcentral is "partial 16S ribosomal RNA". It matches the Rfam family "Bacterial small subunit ribosomal RNA", at positions 338 to 795 of the family's 1533-position model. The record is from RNAcentral.